RNAcentral lists this non-coding RNA (45 nucleotides) under Schistosoma mansoni. The record is from RNAcentral. Lineage: Eukaryota; Metazoa; Platyhelminthes; Trematoda; Strigeidida; Schistosomatidae.
AUCCAUCUUAUGAGUGCGAAAUAGGAUGAAACGCACGUCCUGGAU